This 301-nucleotide ribosomal RNA is filed under the name uncultured bacterium. RNAcentral describes it as "partial 16S ribosomal RNA". It matches the Rfam family "Bacterial small subunit ribosomal RNA", at positions 509 to 807 of the family's 1533-position model. The record is from RNAcentral.
CAGUCGCCGCGGUAAUACGGAGGGUGCAAGCGUUAAUCGGAAUUACUGGGCGUAAAGCGCACGCAGGCGGUUUGUUAAGUCAGAUGUGAAAUACCCGAGCUUAACUUGGGAACUGCAUUUGUGACUGGCAAGCUAGAGUGUGGCAGAGGGGGGUGGAAUUCCCGGAGUAGCGGUGAAAUGCGCAGAUACCGGGAGGAACGCCGAUGGCGAAGGCAGCCACCUGGUCCACUUCUGACGCUGAGGCGCGAAAGCGUGGGGAGCAAACAGGAUUAGAUACCCCUGUAGUCCCUGUCUCUUAUAC